This 468-nucleotide ribosomal RNA is filed under the name uncultured bacterium. RNAcentral's name for it is "partial 16S ribosomal RNA". It matches the Rfam family "Bacterial small subunit ribosomal RNA", at positions 28 to 507 of the family's 1533-position model. The record is from RNAcentral.
GACGAACGCUGGCGGCGUGCUUAACACAUGCAAGUCGAACGGAAAGGCGCUGCUUUUGUGGGGUGCUCGAGUGGCGAACGGGUGAGUAAAACGCGAGUAAAAUGCCCUUGUCUUUGGGAUAAAUUCAGGAAACUGGGGCUCAUACCGGAUAGGAGCUCCUGCUGCGUGGGGGGGGAUGGAAAGUUUCGGCGGUGGGGGAUAGACUCGAGGGUUAUCAGCUGGUUGGUGGAGUAGUGGCUUACCAAGGCUAAGACGGAUAGCCGGCCUUGGAGGGUGACCGGCCACAAUGGGACUGAGGUACGGCGCAGACGCCUACGGGAGGCAGCAGUGGGGAAUAUUGCGCAAUGGGCGGAAGCCUGAGGCAGCAACGCCGCGUGCGGGAUGACGGCUUUCGGGGUGUGAACCGCUUUCUCCGUUGACGAAGCGGUAGUGACGGUAAUGAGUAAAAAAGCACCGGCUAACUACGUG